CAGCCGCCGCGGGAAAACGUAGGUGGCAAGCGUUGUCCGGAAUUAUUGGGCGUAAAGGGCUCGCAGGCGGUUUCUUAAGUCUGAUGUGAAAGCCCCCGGCUCAACCGGGGAGGGUCAUUGGAAACUGGGAAACUUGAGUGCAGAAGAGGAGAGUGGAAUUCCACGUGUAGCGGUGAAAUGCGUAGAGAUGUGGAGGAACACCAGUGGCGAAGGCGACUCUCUGGUCUGUAACUGACGCUGAGGAGCGAAAGCGUGGGGAGCGAACAGGAUUAGAGACCCGUGUAGUCCCUGUCUCUUAUAC
This 301-nucleotide ribosomal RNA is filed under the name uncultured bacterium. RNAcentral's name for it is "partial 16S ribosomal RNA". It matches the Rfam family "Bacterial small subunit ribosomal RNA", at positions 509 to 807 of the family's 1533-position model. The record is from RNAcentral.